AUUAUGUCGCUUGUUCUAUAAAAUAUAUAUGUGCUUUGAUUAAAUUUAUGUUUGUGUGUUUUUAUACAAAGUUUAUUGGUGAAUAUCUUUUGACUGCCAGUUGAAUUUGACAGUUCGAAAUGUUUUUCAAACAGUUAAGUUUAAAACGGGAUAUUUUACGAUUUCUAAAGAACUAAAUUAUAAAACAUAAAUCUCGUAUUUUUAUAAAUAAUGAUUUUAAACAAACUCAAAAAAAUUUUUUUAAUAAUUACUACACUUUUUAUUUUCUUGAGGAUAAAAUUAAAUCGUGACAAAUAAACAAAAUAAAUAUAAAAAAA
Bactrocera dorsalis (oriental fruit fly) is the source of this 317-nucleotide long non-coding RNA. RefSeq lists it as uncharacterized. NCBI's taxonomy places the organism in Eukaryota, Metazoa, Arthropoda, Insecta, Diptera, Tephritidae. The record is from RefSeq and is a predicted model, not a curated record. The transcript has 2 exons.